GAAGGCCGGGCGGUCGCGGGAGAAAUCCUGAGGAAAGUCCGGGCACCGCAGAGCGGAGUGCUGGAUAACGUCCAGUGCCGGCGACGGCAGGAAAGCGCAGCAGAGAGCAGACCGCCGAUGGCCUUCGGGCACAGGCAAGGGUGAAACGGCGAGGUAAGAGCUCACCGCGCCCCCGGCGACGGGGGCGGCACGGCAAGCCCCACUCGGUGCAAGACCAAGCAGAGGGAGCGCAAGCGCGGGCGGCUCGUCCGUCAACCCUCGGGUAGGUCGCUGGAGGCGGACGGCAACGUCCGUCGGAGAGAGAUGAUCGCCACGGGCCUCCGGGCCCGACAGAACCCGGCUUACGGCCG
This 350-nucleotide RNase P RNA is filed under the name bovine gut metagenome. RNAcentral describes it as "Bacterial RNase P class A". It matches the Rfam family "Bacterial RNase P class A". From Rfam's summary of the family: Ribonuclease P (RNase P) is a ubiquitous endoribonuclease, found in archaea, bacteria and eukarya as well as chloroplasts and mitochondria. The record is from RNAcentral.